This 70-nucleotide transfer RNA is filed under the name Algyroides nigropunctatus. RNAcentral describes it as "tRNA-Trp". The record is from RNAcentral. Lineage: Eukaryota; Metazoa; Chordata; Lepidosauria; Squamata; Lacertidae.
AGAAACUUAGGUUAAAUUAAACCAGAGACCUUCAAAGCCUCAAAUAGGGCCCACCAAACCCUAGAUUCUG